GACGAACGCUGGCGGCGUGCUUAACACAUGCAAGUCGAACGGAAAGGCCCUGCUUUUGUGGGGUGCUCGAGUGGCGAAUGGGUGAGUAACACGUGAGUAACCUGCCCUUGACUUUGGGAUAACUUCAGGAAACUGGGGCUAAUACCGGAUAGGAGCUCCUGCUGCAUGGUGGGGGUUGGAAAGUUUCGGCGGUUGGGGAUGGACUCGCGGCUUAUCAGCUUGUUGGUGGGGUAGUGGCUUACCAAGGCUUUGACGGGUAGCCGGCCUGAGAGGGUGACCGGCCACAUUGGGACUGAGAUACGGCCCAGACUCCUACGGGAGGCAGCAGUGGGGAAUAUUGCACAAUGGGCGGAAGCCUGGUGCAGCAACGCCGCGUGCGGGAUGACGGCCUUCGGGUUGUAAACCGCUUUCGCCUGUGACGAAGCGUGAGUGACGGUAAUGGGUAAAGAAGCACCGGCUAACUACGUG
Molecule: ribosomal RNA, 468 nt
Filed under: uncultured bacterium
Lineage: Bacteria
Description: partial 16S ribosomal RNA
Rfam family: Bacterial small subunit ribosomal RNA
Source: RNAcentral